UCUCCGUAGGUGAACCUGUGGAGGGAUCAUUACUGAGUGAGGGUUUAACCGCCCGACCUCCAACCCCGUAACUACCUUACCAUCCGUUGCCUCGGCGGGCCGUCGACCCCCUCGCGGGCGUCGCCGUCGGCCCCCGCGCCCUCGAGCGCCCGCCGCAGGACCAACCGCAAACCCCUCGCGAACCCAGCGGACUGAAACGAAAUUAAAUACUUCAAAACUUUCAACGACGGAUCUCUUGGUUCUGGCAUCGAUGAAGAACGCAGC
This 264-nucleotide unclassified non-coding RNA is filed under the name uncultured fungus. RNAcentral describes it as "sequence contains ITS1, 5.8S rRNA gene". The stretch from base 216 to 264 matches the Rfam family "5.8S ribosomal RNA", at positions 1 to 49 of the family's 154-position model. The record is from RNAcentral. Lineage: Eukaryota; Fungi.